GGACCCGCACAAGUAGUGGAGCAUGUGGUUUAAUUCGAAGAUACGCGCAGAACCUUACCAACACUUGACAUGUUCGUCGCGACUUUAAGAGAUUAAAGUUUUCGGUUCGGCCGGACGAAACACAGGUGCUGCAUGGCUGUCGUCAGCUCGUGUCGUGAGAUGUUGGUUAAGUCCCGCAACGAGCGCAACCCUCACUUUUAGUUGCCAUCAUUUAGUUGGGCACUCUGAAAGAACUGCCAGUGAUAAGCUGGAGGAAGGUGGGGAUGACGUCAAGUCCUCAUGGCCCUUACGUGUUGGGCUACACACGUGCUACAAUGGCAGUGACAGAGGGGACGCUACCAGGUGACUGGAUGCA
Molecule: ribosomal RNA, 355 nt
Filed under: uncultured bacterium
Lineage: Bacteria
Description: bacterial SSU rRNA
Rfam family: Bacterial small subunit ribosomal RNA
Source: RNAcentral